RNAcentral lists this ribosomal RNA (467 nucleotides) under uncultured bacterium. RNAcentral's name for it is "partial 16S ribosomal RNA". It matches the Rfam family "Bacterial small subunit ribosomal RNA", at positions 28 to 507 of the family's 1533-position model. The record is from RNAcentral.
GAUGAACGCUGGCGGCGUGCUUAACACAUGCAAGUCGAACGGAAAGGCUCCUGCUUGCAGGGGUACUCGAGUGGCGAACGGGUGAGUAACACGUGGGUGAUCUGCCCUGCACUUCGGGAUAAGCCUGGGAAACUGGGUCUAAUACCGGAUAGGACCACAUUUUGGAUGGUGUGGUGGAAAGUUUUUCGGUGUGGGAUGAGCCCGCGGCCUAUCAGCUUGUUGGUGGGGUAAUGGCCUACCAAGGCGUCGACGGGUAGCCGGCCUGAGAGGGUGUACGGCCACAUUGGGACUGAGAUACGGCCCAGACUCCGACGGGAGGCAGCAGUGGGGAAUAUUGCACAAUGGGCGCAAGCCUGAUGCAGCGACGCCGCGUGGGGGAUGACGGCCUUCGGGUUGUAAACUCCUUUCGCUAGGGACGAAGCGUUUUUGUGACGGUACCUGGAGAAGAAGCACCGGCUAACUACGUG